Molecule: ribosomal RNA, 253 nt
Filed under: uncultured bacterium
Lineage: Bacteria
Description: partial 16S ribosomal RNA
Rfam family: Bacterial small subunit ribosomal RNA
Source: RNAcentral
UACGAAGGGGACUAGCGUUGUUCGGAAUUACUGGGCGUAAAGCGCACGUAGGCGGAUUUGUUAGUCAGGGGUGAAAUCCCGGGGCUCAACCUCGGAACUGCCUUUGAUACUGCAAGUCUCGAGUCCGAUAGAGGUGGGUGGAAUUCCUGGUGUAGAGGUGAAAUUCGUAGAUAUUAGGAAGAACACCGGUGGCGAAGGCGGCCCACUGGAUCGGUACUGACGCUGAGGUGCGAAAGCGUGGGGAGCAAACAGG